This is a small nuclear RNA of 141 nucleotides. Its record names the gene U4. It matches the Rfam family "U4 spliceosomal RNA". From Rfam's summary of the family: U4 small nuclear RNA (U4 snRNA) is a component of the major U2-dependent spliceosome. The record is from Ensembl.
AGCUUUGCGCAGUGGCAGUAUCGUAGUCUAUGAGGUCUAUCCGAGGCGCGAUUAUGGCUAGUUGAAAACUUUACCCAAUACCCCGCCUUGACGACUUGAAAUAUAGUCGGCAACGGCAAUUUUUGACAGUCUCUAAGGAGA